GCCGCCGACGACCGAACGCGAGCCGUCCAGCGCCACCGACUCGACUCGCGCUGGCAGUCGAAGUUUGACUGCUUUGGCUUGCGGACGUGCGUUGACCGUACCCACACGGCUCCUCCUCCCGAUCGAUAGCCCACACAUCGUAUUCGCACCGAUUCGAACGUAAACCGUUCGCGCUACGGACGUAAAUCCGUUUCCAGCCGAUUCCCACGAUCCACCGGCCGACCCGAGAGACCGGGAAGACCCUCGACCAGCACUACGGAACGACCAUCACAACAACAACAAAUAACCAUGGAAGACGACCAAAAUGGCGUCGUCGUCGGGCGGCCGCCGAACAGCGAUACCUGCGGAAUGAUCGUCAACCACGGUGGCGGGGACGACCGGCCGACGACGGCGGCGGCUGCGGCUGCGGCACCGCCUACACCAGCGCUCCCGGCGGCGGCGGCCACGGCUUUCGGAGCUCCUGCGCGCCCAGCGCCGCGGUACGGCGCCCAUUACAACUGCAACAAUAACAAUUCGGUCAUCAAAGGGCAGCAGUUAAAGGGUCCUGGUAAUCUAGAUCACAGAAAUAGACGUACGCGUCGUGGUAAACGUAAAAGCAGAAAACAAACACCAUACAUGAAGGAUGGGAUGUUGUUUCGAGACAAAGCUGUGGCUCCAAAUAACACUAAUCAGUUUUUAAUGGACGAUCAUAAUGAUGGACCAGACAUGGAUAAAAGAUUAUUUGCACGAUACAAUAACGAAAAUGGCCGUACAAGAAAUUCAAGUCAUACUAGUCUCGAGUCUGAGGCGGAACAGAUGUAUUCUUCAUCAGACGAUGAUGGAACUUCAAUACAAAAGGAAUUUAUUGAAUCGUAUAGACUUGUUCAAGAAGAAGAAUUGGCGGGGUUGACUCAAAACGAACUUGUUCAACGAGUGAUUGAGCUUGAAGAAAAAGUACAAAUGCUUGAGUCUAAUAAUAAUAAAAGGUAUAAAAAAAACACAGAUACAUGUUCAAAUGGUACACCCAAUGAAGAUGGAGAAGAAAACCCCUCUAUUGAUGCAGAAGAAUUUAAACUAUUGCAAAUAAAGUAUAGAGAAUUGACAACACAAAACCAAGUGCUGCUAGCUGAAGUUGAAAAUCUUAAACAAAAACAAACCCAGAUGAAUAAUAAGUCAGAUGGCUCUGAUGAUAGUGGAAGUUCGUCAGACUCCAGUAGCUCUUCUAGUUCAUCUGAUGGACAAGAAAUAGAAAUGAAGUUCUUAUUACGGAGUAGUGGAAGAGAUGAAUAGAUGAUUGAUCAGUCAAGUACCAAAAUAAUGUUUAUUGUAAACUGUGAAGUUUGGCAGUGAUCACUUUUAACAUGGAAUAUAGUGAUAACUUAUGCCUAACAAAUAACCACCAGAUUAAACAUCUGCCGAAAAAUGACAGCAACUGGUGUAGUAUUGACGUCAGAAACAAAAUGUUUGCAAAAUAAACAUGGUCAAUGGUGGUCAGCUAAUAUGUCAUAGAGCAAAAAAGUGAAUUGCAGAUUCUGCACUUUUUCUAAAGAUCAGAUUGUGGUGUCAAUAUCUCCAGGAAUUUACUAUUAUCUACAGAUAAACACAUUUUAUUUGUGAAUGAUGAUAAAAAAUUCAAAACCAUACUCCUGGAUAUAAGAUACAAUAUGAAGUUUCAAAUUCUAACAGCUAGUAUUAUCAAAGAAAAAGGGUUAAUAGGAGUAAUAAAAUCUAAAUUAAAACAGAAGAAAAUUGUUAAGAAUUUAUAUUUAUUAUUUAGUAAUAUUAUUUAUUAUCUUAUAUUAAUAAUUGAUUUUAUAAUAUCUCAUAGUAUUAAGUUAACCAAAUAUACUUAUUUAUUAUAAAAUACAAA
Molecule: RNA transcript, 1849 nt
Organism: Aphis gossypii (cotton aphid)
Lineage: Eukaryota; Metazoa; Arthropoda; Insecta; Hemiptera; Aphididae
Gene name: protein HEXIM1-like
Exons: 6
Source: RefSeq, a predicted model, not a curated record